UACGUAGGGGGCUAGCGUUGUCCGGAAUUACUGGGCGUAAAGGGUGCGUAGGCGGCAUUUUAAGUCAGAUGUGAAAUACCCGGGCUUAACCUGGGGGGUGCAUUUGAAACUGGGAUGCUAGAGUGCAGGAGAGGAGAGUGGAAUUCCUAGUGUAGCGGUGAAAUGCGUAGAUAUUAGGAGGAACACCAGUAGCGAAGGCGGCUCUCUGGACUGUAACUGACGCUGAGUCACGAAAGCGUGGGUAGCAAACAGGAUUAGAUACCCUGGUAGU
This 271-nucleotide ribosomal RNA is filed under the name uncultured prokaryote. Its description in RNAcentral is "partial 16S ribosomal RNA". It matches the Rfam family "Bacterial small subunit ribosomal RNA", at positions 524 to 794 of the family's 1533-position model. The record is from RNAcentral.